UGCAAGUCGAGCGGUAACACAGAGAGCUUGCUCUCGGGUGACGAGCGGCGGACGGGUGAGUAAUGUCUGGGAAACUGCCUGAUGGAGGGGGAUAACUACUGGAAACGGUAGCUAAUACCGCAUAACGUCGCAAGACCAAAGUGGGGGACCUUCGGGCCUCAUGCCAUCAGAUGUGCCCAGAUGGGAUUAGCUAGUAGGUGGGGUAAUGGCUCACCUAGGCGACGAUCCCUAGCUGGUCUGAGAGGAUGACCAGCCACACUGGAACUGAGACACGGUCCAGACUCCUACGGGAGGCAGCAGUGGGGAAUAUUGCACAAUGGGCGCAAGCCUGAUGCAGCCAUGCCGCGUGUAUGAAGAAGGCCUUCGGGUUGUAAAGUACUUUCAGCGAGGAGGAAGGCAUUAAGGUUAAUAACCUUGGUGAUUGACGUUACUCGCAGAAGAAGCACCGGCUAACUCCGUGCCAGCAGCCGCGGUAAUACGGAGGGUGCAAGCGUUAAUCGGAAUUACUGGGCGUAAAGCGCACGCAGGCGGUCUGUCAAGUCGGAUGUGAAAUCCCCGGGCUCAACCUGGGAACUGCAUUCGAAACUGGCAGGCUAGAGUCUUGUAGAGGGGGGUAGAAUUCCAGGUGUAGCGGUGAAAUGCGUAGAGAUCUGGAGGAAUACCGGUGGCGAAGGCGGCCCCCUGGACAAAGACUGACGCUCAGGUGCGAAAGCGUGGGGAGCAAACAGGAUUAGAUACCCUGGUAGUCCACGCCGUAAACGAUGUCGACUUGGAGGUUGUGCCCUUGAGGCGUGGCUUCCGGAGCUAACGCGUUAAGUCGACCGCCUGGGGAGUACGGCCGCAAGGUUAAAACUCAAAUGAAUUGACGGGGGCCCGCACAAGCGGUGGAGCAUGUGGUUUAAUUCGAUGCAACGCGAAGAACCUUACCUACU
Molecule: ribosomal RNA, 932 nt
Filed under: Klebsiella aerogenes
Lineage: Bacteria; Pseudomonadati; Pseudomonadota; Gammaproteobacteria; Enterobacterales; Enterobacteriaceae
Description: bacterial SSU rRNA
Rfam family: Bacterial small subunit ribosomal RNA
Source: RNAcentral